AGAAGCGCUAUCCGAGAACCCUAUGAUGCUCGAAAAUAGCUGCAAGAGAAGUACAGCAACUUCAGCAAUUACCAACAAUACAUGUUUUCUAUAAAGCAAGCUAUGAACCAUCUUGUUUAAUUCUCUUAGAGGUUCAUAAGAAAGCCUCACGUGUGAAAUAAAUGCACUCAAAGACGCUUCACAAGUAGCACUUUGGAGCUUCAGAUGUGAAAUGGAUCAUUCCUCAAUCUGUAAUAAACCCUUCUGUGAAGCUCUUCAAUCAAACCUGAGAAGUCAAGAACUCAACCUCUUUGAAAGUUAGUAACAGCAGACUGGAC
Molecule: long non-coding RNA, 317 nt
Filed under: Mus spicilegus (steppe mouse)
Lineage: Eukaryota; Metazoa; Chordata; Mammalia; Rodentia; Muridae
Description: lncRNA (ENSMSIG00000020214.1)
Source: RNAcentral